GGCCAUCGUCAACAACACAAAUAUGAUGCCAUGUGAAAAUAUAUUACGUUCAAAGCGUGUGUUAUUUUUUCUUCCGUUGCAACGCACGGGCUUUUUUGCUAGUAGUAUAUAUGUAUUGAAGCAACUAUUGCUGUCUAACCAAAAAUCAUCCACUAAAGUCCCAACAGACUCGGUCAGGCGACCAAAUCAAGUACAUAGCCUGGGGCGUAGUCCUUCCACCAGGUGCAGACCAGCCUUAUAGUCAAAGUCUGCUAAUUCAUGGGCCAUCCUAUUACACUCUCGGUUAACAAAACGAAAUUCAAAGGCAUCAAAAGACGCGCGACACAAGCCGCGUGCUUCUCUUAGCAGGACGCCGAUGCUGGACAGAUCAUAAUCGCCGGAGAUCAAGCCGUUGACGAGCUGCAGCGAGUCUGAUUCGAAAAGAAC
Molecule: long non-coding RNA, 426 nt
Filed under: Hordeum vulgare
Lineage: Eukaryota; Viridiplantae; Streptophyta; Magnoliopsida; Poales; Poaceae
Description: long non-coding RNA (HVUL_LNC008746)
Source: RNAcentral